GAUGAACGCUGGCGGCGUGCCUAAUACAUGCAAGUCGAGCGAACAGACGAGGAGCUUGCUCCUCUGACGUUAGCGGCGGACGGGUGAGUAACACGUGGAUAACCUACCUAUAAGACUGGGAUAACUUCGGGAAACCGGAGCUAAUACCGGAUAAUAUAUUGAACCGCAUGGUUCAAUAGUGAAAGACGGUUUUGCUGUUACUUAUAGAUGGAUCCGCGCCGCAUUAGCUAGUUGGUAAGGUAACGGCUUACCAAGGCAACGAUGCGUAGCCGACCUGAGAGAGUGAUCGGCCACACUGGAACUGAGACACGGACCAGACUCCUAAGGGAGGCAGCAGUAGGGAAUCUUCCGCAAUGGGCGAAAGCCUGACGGAGCAACGCCGCGUGCGUGAUGAAGGUCUUCGGAUCGUAAAACUCUGUUAUUAGGGAAGAACAAAUGUGUAAGUAACUAUGCACGUCUUGACGGUACCUAGUCAGAAAGCCACGGCUAACUACGUG
RNAcentral lists this ribosomal RNA (497 nucleotides) under uncultured bacterium. RNAcentral describes it as "partial 16S ribosomal RNA". It matches the Rfam family "Bacterial small subunit ribosomal RNA", at positions 28 to 507 of the family's 1533-position model. The record is from RNAcentral.